This is a long non-coding RNA of Mangifera indica (mango), 2305 nucleotides long. RefSeq lists it as uncharacterized. The record is from RefSeq and is a predicted model, not a curated record. The transcript is spliced from 4 exons. NCBI's taxonomy places the organism in Eukaryota, Viridiplantae, Streptophyta, Magnoliopsida, Sapindales, Anacardiaceae.
UCAGCGUUGUCCCAGUCUUCCAGAAUGGUGAUUGUAUUCUUAGUCUCCCAAGUCUGAAUCGUCCGAUCAGCGCCUGGUUGCCACAGAAUGUCGCCGGUGGCUUCUUUCAACAUGAACUUGAACUGGAUUGUUUUCCCCACAGAGGAAUUGCACUUUCGGGGUCCCAUAAGCCAAAUAUAGGAUCAUCUCCCACAACAAAAAACCGCUCGCCGAAUCGACAUUCUUUCUGUAUCUGGAAUUUGACAUGAACAGUAUUGGAUUCAUCUGCACAACAGAAUCAUUGACUUCAUCAGGCUAAGAUAUCACAACGAUCUCAAGCUUUGCAAGAUCAGCUGUAACUUACAUAUAUGUUCCUCCUGAGCCACAUUCUCCAUUUCUCCCUGCAUCAGUAAAAGUGUUUAGCCUGUUCAUAAAACCACCGUAAACAACAAUAUGAAGAAACCCAAAAGGGAAGGGGAAAAGACCUGCGAAUCAGCCUGGAUAUAAGAGAUAGCCUGCACAGUCUUGUUUCUGAGAGAUAAGAGUUCCGAGAAGCGGCCAUUAACAUGAUUUUUGGAAGGUUAACUUGGAGCCUGCAGAACUCGUUAAGGUUUCCAUCUCACUCAGUGCGUUACCCACUUCAAGUUACAACCCGGUAAGCUGAAACAUCUGUCUUUUCUUUCUAGUGGCUAUGCUAAAACACAGUGUGGUAUAUAAUGGCAUUGGAGCAGAUGGUGAUAAAUGAACGGAUCAGAUUCCACGUGGGGUUGGUUGAAUCUGGCUUCCAUUCAACUCAAACGUGAGAAUCUCAAGCAAAUUAAACAGUUUGCAUUUCGAGAGACUUCAUUAAAACGUCACCGUCGGUGGUCACUCUUUCUCAAUCCCCACCAUUCCCUUCAACGGUAGACAUUGCCACCUGUCCCACCUCAUUUUCCAAUUGGUUUUUUAGGGUUCAGGUUGAUGUUCUUAUCUUCAGCUUUUUGAAGAUUGCAAAGUCAUUGCUUUAGUGGCACUCCAGUAAUGGCGUAGGGGCAGAUUUUCAGCUCCAUGUCUGCUGUGUUCACAUGCAUUUUUUCCCGUGAAAGCAGAUAAGCAGUGGCAAUUAGUCUUUCUUUUCUGUGAGAUGGGCUGAAAAGAGUGUUGCAGGCCAGCUUAGCCUGGGCCCUACCGCAGUGUUUGGGCUCGGACCUUAAAGCCCGGGCUUUUUUCAUCUCAAGUUUAGACGUGCCCCAUCCCUGCAAGGGGGAGAAUUAUGCGGGUUUAAUAUGGCAAAGAGCUUAUUCCCACCUAAGUUUUGCUGUAUUUUCAAAGUCUUAUUUAUAAGGUUUUAAAAACCCAAAUAUUUAUCUAUGAACUGUUAACCUUAACUAAAACAGAGGGUAAAAUCGUUAUUUUGAUCACUAAACUCUAAAAUCUAAAAAUUUAUAUCAUUUUCUCCCAUCAGUUUGAAAAACAAACAAUUUCUCUCUAUCCAAAAGUUUAAAAAAUUUAUUUUUUUGCCAAAAGUUUUUUCUUCGUUCUUUAACGACAAGAAUCAAUUGUUGUCAUUGGCCGACCACCCUAACAUCUUCUUUUCUAGUCAUCAACCUUCCUAUCAAAGUAGGUUCAUUGAACAAAGGCAGGUCAUUUUCGUUCGACUAAGAGACGAAAAGUCUCUCUUUAGCCAAACAAAGACAAUUUGUCUUUAUCUGACCAACGGAUUGACAUUAGAAGAAUUGUCUGAUGUGGAUCUGUUAGCUAGAUGAAGACGAUUCUUCGGCUAAAGAGAUGAAAAGAUUUUUCAUCUCUUUGUCGGACGAAGAUAGUUUAUCUUAAUCCAACGAACCUAUUGCGAUGGAAAGGCCAACAGUUGGAGAAGAUGUUGUGGUGGUCGACCGACAGUGGUAGUGGAUUCUCGUCACCGGAGAAUAAAGAAAAAACUUUUGGGGGGAAAAUGAAUUUUUCAAAUUUUUGGGCAGGAGAGAAUGUUAGUUUUCAAAAAUAUGGGUGAAAAUAAUAUAAACUCUUAAAGUUUUAUGGUUUAGUGGUAAAAUGAUGAUUUUACUCUCUAUAACUAACGGUUUUGGUUAAGGUUAACACCCAUGAGUAGGUGUUUUGGGUUUUGAAAUAUUAUGAAUGAGAAUUUGGAAACACAUCAAAACUUGGAUGGGAAUAGGUCUUUUGGCAAUUAAUAUUAGAUUUCAAAGGGCUUGACCCACAGGGAUCAGGGGGUUGGCCUGUAUUAUUGAUCUGCUGAUUGAAUAUUUUAUUUUCAUGUAUAUUGGUGGAACCUAUAAUGCAACAAGUGUUUAGAAAUCUAGACAAAACCAGUUGGUCUUAUCUGAAA